GGCCUCCUGGUGCUCGCCCACAGGCUGUUCUUACACUGACUCCGGAGGAAGAGGAGGUAGAGUAAACCCACCCCAUACACACCUCCACCCAGGCCCUGGGCCUGGUCUGUAUUAUGAAAUGGGGGCAUAGAA
Molecule: small nucleolar RNA, 132 nt
Filed under: Aotus nancymaae (Ma's night monkey)
Lineage: Eukaryota; Metazoa; Chordata; Mammalia; Primates; Aotidae
Description: Small nucleolar RNA SNORA51 (ENSANAG00000007650.1)
Rfam family: Small nucleolar RNA SNORA51
About the family: ACA51 is a member of the H/ACA class of snoRNA that guide the sites of modification of uridines to pseudouridines.
Source: Rfam by way of RNAcentral